AUCGAACGCUGGCGGCAUGCCUUACACAUGCAAGUCGAACGGCAGCACGGGAGCAAUCCUGGUGGCGAGUGGCGAACGGGUGAGUAAUGUAUCGGAACGUGCCCAGUCGUGGGGGAUAACGCAGCGAAAGCUGUGCUAAUACCGCAUACGAUCUAUGGAUGAAAGCGGGGGAUCGCAAGACCUCGCGCGAUUGGAGCGGCCGAUAUCAGAUUAGCUAGUUGGUGGGGUAAAAGCUUACCAAGGCGACGAUCUGUAGCUGGUCUGAGAGGACGACCAGCCACACUGGAACUGAGACACGGUCCAGACUCCUACGGGAGGCAGCAGUGGGGAAUUUUGGACAAUGGGCGCAAGCCUGAUCCAGCAAUGCCGCGUGCAGGAUGAAGGCCUUCGGGUUGUAAACUGCUUUUGUACGGAGCGAAAAGGCGCUCUCUAAUACAGGGGGCUCAUGACGGUACCGUAAGAAUAAGCACCGGCUAACUACGUGCCAGCCGCCGCAGUAA
RNAcentral lists this ribosomal RNA (500 nucleotides) under uncultured bacterium. Its description in RNAcentral is "partial 16S ribosomal RNA". It matches the Rfam family "Bacterial small subunit ribosomal RNA", at positions 30 to 523 of the family's 1533-position model. The record is from RNAcentral.